GGAAGAGUCGCAUAGAGGCCCAGUGCACGAGUUUGCUAAACUCGGCCCCUUAAUUGGGGCUCGUGGGUUCGAAUCCCACCUCUUCCGCCA
RNAcentral lists this transfer RNA (90 nucleotides) under Patescibacteria group bacterium. RNAcentral describes it as "tRNA-Ser". It matches the Rfam family "tRNA". Rfam says of the family: Transfer RNA (tRNA) molecules are approximately 80 nucleotides in length. The record is from RNAcentral.